Sycon ciliatum is the source of this 458-nucleotide long non-coding RNA. RefSeq lists it as uncharacterized. The record is from RefSeq and is a predicted model, not a curated record. Lineage: Eukaryota; Metazoa; Porifera; Calcarea; Leucosolenida; Sycettidae. The transcript is spliced from 3 exons.
CCGAACUUGCACCGACAGCCUUUUGUCAGGCCUGUGACAUGCUUUCUGACUGCUGCAAGAUGUUUGUCAGAGCCCCACACCAUGACUAAGUCAUUGGUUCUUGACCAUCCGUACCUUGAAGAGGUAUUAUGGCCAGCUGCUACUCCCCAUUGAGAAAAGAUCCCUGCAAGCAUACUUGACUGGCUGUAUGUGUCUAACACGUCUGCAAGCACCAACUGGAGUGGGUGCUGCACAAUGAUCGAUGUACGUAAUCAUUACCCACAGCAGUGGUGUCGGUCAGUGCUGUAACUACCUUCCUCAACAAUCACCAGCUGUGUGGAGUGACAAGUUUUGACAAAAUUAGUCGGCCUCUCUCCUUCUUAUCCCUUUAUCGACUCAGAGGAGAUGCUUGACCACCACAUAAUUUGGUAUUUCCCCUUUAGCCUAAUAUUUGCUUCCUACACCAGCCACAGUGCUUC